RNAcentral lists this ribosomal RNA (497 nucleotides) under uncultured bacterium. RNAcentral describes it as "partial 16S ribosomal RNA". It matches the Rfam family "Bacterial small subunit ribosomal RNA", at positions 28 to 507 of the family's 1533-position model. The record is from RNAcentral.
GAUGAACGCUGGCGGCGUGCCUAAUACAUGCAAGUCGAGCGGACGGACGAGAAGCUUGCUUCUCUGAUGUUAGCGGCGGACGGGUGAGUAACACGUGGAUAACCUACCUAUAAGACUGGGAUAACUUCGGGAAACCGGAGCUAAUACCGGAUAAUAUUUUGAACCGCAUGGUUCAAAAGUGAAAGACGGUCUUGCUGUCAUUUAUAGAUGGAUCCGCGCUGCAUUAGCUAGUUGGUAAGGUAACGGCUUACCAAGGCAACGAUGCAUAGCCGACCUGAGAGGGUGAUCGGCCACACUGGAACUGAGACACGGUCCAGACUCCUACGGGAGGCAGCAGUAGGGAAUCUUCCGCAAUGGGCGAAAGCCUGACGGAGCAACGCCGCGUGAGUGAUGAAGGUCUUCGGAUCGUAAAACUCUGUUAUUAGGGAAGAACAUAUGUGUAAGUAACUGUGCACAUCUUGACGGUACCUAAUCAGAAAGCCACGGCUAACUACGUG